GGGCGGGAGCGGCGGUCCAGACUGGGGAGGGACGCGCACCGGCCAGGAGGCUUCAAGAGGAGGGCACUAGGGCCCUGCGAGCGGCGUCUUAACCGGCGGCGCUAGGACUCCGCGGGAAACGGCGGGGGCGGAGCGGGCGGCACCAGGACCCAGGGGAACCGCGACGGGCGGGCGGCGAGCAGGCCCGGGAGCCGGGAGGCUGCGGGCGGCGGCGCUGGACCCGACGCGGCGAGAGAGGCCCCGAGAUGCCGAGCAAGAAGAAGAAGUACAACGCGCGGUUCCCGCCGGGGCCGGAAGCCAGGCAGCGGCGGCCGGAAGAACGGUGGGAUGGGAACGAAAAGCAAGGACAAGAAGCUGUCCGGGACAGACUCGGAGCAGGAGGAUGAAUCUGAGGACACAGAUACUGAUGGGGAAGAGGAGACAUCACAACCCCCACCCCAGGCCAGCCACCCCUCUGCCCACUUUCAGAGCCCCCCGACACCCUUCCUGCCCUUCGCCUCUACUCUGCCUUUGCCCCCAGCGCCCCCGGGCCCCUCAGCACCUGAUGAAGAGGACGAAGAAGAUUACGACUCCUAGCGCCUUCUGCCCCCCAGACCAUAGCCCCUUUUAGUUGGUUUUAGUUGCUCUGGGGGGAGGAGAGAAGGUAGAGCUGUUCUUAAAUUUAUUAAAAAAAAAAAUAAAAGGGAAUCUCAGUGUCUGUU
RNAcentral lists this long non-coding RNA (701 nucleotides) under Homo sapiens (human). RNAcentral describes it as "long non-coding RNA NONHSAT022242.2". Lineage: Eukaryota; Metazoa; Chordata; Mammalia; Primates; Hominidae. The record is from RNAcentral.